Pteropus alecto (black flying fox) is the source of this 2598-nucleotide long non-coding RNA. RefSeq lists it as uncharacterized. The record is from RefSeq and is a predicted model, not a curated record. The transcript is spliced from 2 exons. NCBI's taxonomy places the organism in Eukaryota, Metazoa, Chordata, Mammalia, Chiroptera, Pteropodidae.
CCCGCGCCCCUGCUGUGUCCUCCGUCCUGUGAAACACUUCUAGGUUCGGGGUUCCCGGCUGGACGCGAGAUCUCAGAAGCCCCGACUGGCCGGCCUUAUUCCCAGCCUGCUGCUACGUCCCUGGUUACCGCGCGUCGCGGAGAAACAGCCAUAGUUUUCAACUGGAGAUGCGAUAGAGGAGAUGAAACCUUUUUGGUAACAAGCAAACCCCUGCUUAUAAAAGGGGGAGAGUUUAAUUUUCAUCCAACUGGAAACCUGAGGCUUCCCAGUAAGAGGAACGUUUCUGGCCUGUAAAGCAGUCACCUGUUGUUCCAGGGAUUAGGAUGAAAACAUCUUUGGAGCGAGGGGCGUUACAGUAAAGGAUUCCAAAAGAAGCUUGAGCACCUAAGACAAAUCACCUGCCUCUCAGAGUCAUCUCUUCCAAAUAAUUGAAGCACUUGAUUAGAAAUGCCAAUAACUGAUUUUCCUCAUAUUUAUACCUAUUGUGAAGUUUAUAGUCAAUUUUAAAAUGGGAUACUAGGGAUAAAGAAGAGCAGCAUGGUUAUAGAGUAUUCUCAUUUUGUAUGAUCAGCCACUUGAACAAACUCUAAAGAGUCUGGAGGCUUUGCUAGAAAUAAAUGAUAAAGACUUAUUUAAAGGUCUUGGAGUUCGCAAACUGGAAACACAGGCAAAAACACAUUGGUGUUCCAAAGAAGAAGGAAAAGUUAAAGGGUUCUUAUUGUUAAAAAUGCAUUCUUGAGAAUAAUCAGUCCUUCAUUCUUAGCCCUAGAAUUGGUUCAGGAUGGUUAUCAGUUAUAUGUCAGGCAGUCUUGAUGGUAGAUGCCAAGUUGUCUGAAAGAUAGGUGCCAGGAAGUCUGGUCACAUCCAUUGGUCUGGAGAGUAGAUGUUACAUGGACGUCAAGUGAUCUGGUUAUAUGAGUUCUUCAGUGGGUAAUCAGAGGGUUGUUUGGAGAUCCGAUGUAUAUCCAGGUAUUGACACACAAAGAACUAAUAUCCAGGCAUUGGUGCAGGACUAGAAAAUUUACAAGUUCUCAGGCUAGUUAGAACAAGAAUAGAAUUGUUUCCUCAUGACUCAACUUAAUGUUAAUUUUAGCAGCUUUGUUAAAGCAAUUCCAUUUUAUAUAUUUCCUAUCUUUACUCUUUCCUCACACCGUAGUGUCACAGUGUUUUCAUAAUUUGCACUGAAUAGGCCCUACUCUAAAUCCAAGCUUUAUGAAAACCUAAUUUUCAUUGAUCACUUCAAGGGGAAUCGUAUCCAUAAGAAUUGUCUGUACCAUAGAAUAGGAAUACUCAGGCCAAAAGCAUUUCCACUUUUACCAGUCUGAUUGAGGUCAUCCUUGCCUACUAUAUCAUCCUAUGUAUUUCUGUCUUGUUUAUUUUCCCCAUGCACAAUCUCAUGAUGUAAUUUUUCUUUUUAAAAAUCUAGAAUGACUAAGAGAGACUGAGACUUAAGUGGCCAGAGGUAGAAAAGAGACCGAAUUCCUUUUGGUGGUCUCUUAAAUUUUGUCCUUCAUAUGUGCGUUACAUAUUCUAAAAACAUAAAAUUUUAAUUAAAGCAGAAAAUUUCAGUGAGAUCUUAUUGGCUAAGAAAGUCCAAAUAUCUUAGUUUGGCAAAAAGCCCUUUAAUGAUCUGGGUAUAACUUAAGUUUACAGUUCUAUUCCGUAUUGGACCCUUUUUGUUUUCUACCACACUGGUUACGCAUACCUUUCUGCACAUCAGAAUCACCUGAAGAGCUUGUUGAGAAGACGUUCCCAGGCCAUAGGCCCUACAUGCUGACCCACUGAGUCAGACUCUCCAAAGAAAGGGACUGCAAAUCUACCUCUUUUAAGAUUUAAGCAUCGGCCCAAUGAGCUACAAGAUUAUUACUCUGCAGCAUUUUAGCCAAACCUUAGCAUUUACUGUUCUACAUGAUUAUCUUACAUUUUCCAAUCAUUUUUGCCUUUAUGCACUUCAUUUCCUCACCAGUUCUCUAUAUUUCCCUGUUAAAUUUUUACCCAUCUUUUAAGACCCAGCUUAAAUACCACCUCCUUUACCAAUCCUCUUUAAAAAUAAUCAUCUUCUUUGCUUGUAAUUAAUGAUUAUUGUCCAGACUUCAGAGAGAGAAUUCUGAAUUAAAAUUCCAUUUUUGAUACUUGAUUAGUGCAAAUGUUGGGCAAGUUCCUAAACACUUCUGGGCCUCACUUUCCUGUAAACUGGGAAUGAUAUUAGUACCUCCCUCAUAGGUGGUUGUGAGAAUUAAUUCAUGUAAAGUAUGUAGAACUUCAUGCCUGGCCCAAAGUAAGCACUAAAUAAGUGUUAGCUUAUGGUGGAAUGGGCAACUGAUCAGACCAAAAAGAGGGAACCCAAGACUAAGUUAACACAGGGGAGGCAGUAUCAGUGCUGUAACUUGGAGUAGGGUGCUCUGGAAUGCUAAAUCAGGAUGUCAGCAAAGAAAAUUAGGGAUGGAGAGGAGAGAAUGAGAGGGAAAAAUAAGACUAGAAGACUGUUUAUAUAUAUUCCCUACCCGCUUUAAGCAUUUAAGACUAGAGCAAGGAUUGGCCAAGCAUGGGGAAAAGGGAGAGACUGUCAUUAUUAAUAAAUUUCAUAUUUGAAAAGGG